RNAcentral lists this ribosomal RNA (440 nucleotides) under uncultured bacterium. Its description in RNAcentral is "partial 16S ribosomal RNA". It matches the Rfam family "Bacterial small subunit ribosomal RNA", at positions 338 to 795 of the family's 1533-position model. The record is from RNAcentral.
CCUACGGGAGUCAGCAGUAGGGAAUAUUGCUCAAUGGGGGAAACCCUGAAGCAGCACCGCCGCGUGGAGGAUGAAGGUUUUCGGAUUGUAAACUCCUUUUGUUAGAGAAGAUAAUGACGGUAUCUAACGAAUAAGCACCGGCUAACUCCGUGCCAGCAGCCGCGGUAAUACGGAGGGUGCAAGCGUUACUCGGAACCACUGGGCGUAAAGAGCGCGUAGGCGGGAUAGCAAGUCAGAUGUGAAAUCCUAGGGCUUAACCAUAGAACUGCAUUUGAAACUGUUAUUCUAGAGUAUGGGAGAGGUAGGUGGAAUUCUUGGUGUAGGGGUAAAAUCCGUAGAGAUCAAGAGGAAUACUCAUUGCGAAGGCGACCUGCUAGAACAUAACUGACGCUGAUGCGCGAAAGCGUGGGGAGCAAACAGGAUUAGAUACCCCUGUAGUC